UAGUAUUAUAAUUAUUGCUUUAAGAACUCUUAUGUUUUAAAAAGGAAUAGAAGAAAAGAGAAAAAACCAGUCUUUUGUGUUUACCUUCCUACUUACUGUUUCCAGUGUUCUUCAUUCUUUCCUGUGAAUUCAAGUUACCAUCCAGUGUAAUUUCCUUUUGGCCCAAAGGAUUUUCUUUAGUCUUUCUCAGACAGCUCUGCCAGUAAUUAAUUCUCUCAGUUUUUGUUUAUCUAGGAAUGUCUUAUUCUGCCUCUAUUUUUGAAAGGGUUUUGCUGAAUAUGAAAUUCUUAGUUGACAUAUGUAUUUUUUUUCCUUUCAGCAUGUUCAAUGUUAUUCUUCUGCCUUGUGGCCUCCAUUGUUUCUGAUGAGAAGUCAUCAUUCAUUCUAUUUUUGUAUUUCCCUUUUUAUAAUAAGUUAUUUUUCUCUUUCAGCAGUUUGACUCUGAUGUGUAAAAAUGUAGAUUUCUUUUCUUUUUUUUUUGAGAUAGAGUCUCGCUCUGUCACCAGGCUGAAGUGCAGUGACAUGAUCUUGGCUCACUGCAGCCUCUGCCUCCCGGGUUCAAGCAAUUCUCCUGCCUCAGCCUCCCAAGUAGCUAGGACUACAGGUGUGCACUGCUACGCUUGGCUAAUUUUUUUGUAUUUUUAGUAGAGAUGGGGUUUCACCAUGUGGGCUAGGAUGGUCUUGAUUUCCUGACCUCGUGAUCCACCCGCCGUGGCUUCCCAAAGUGCUGGGAUUACAGGCAUGAGCCACCGUGCCUGGCAUGUGUAGAUUUCUUUAGUUUUAUCCUAUAUGGGAUUUAUUGAGCUUCUUGGGUCUGUAGAUUAAUUUUUUCAUCAACUAUAGGAGGUUCUCAGCCAUUAUUUUUCAAAAAAAAUUUUUUUCCUGCCACAUUGUCUCUCUUCUCCUUCUAGGACUCUUAUUCCAUGUAUAGUAUAUUGGUAUUCUUGAUAUUGUCCCACAAGUCACUUAGGCUGUGUUCAUUUUUCUUCAGUCUUUUUUUUCUUUUUUCACGUUGGAUAAUUUCUGUAGAUCUGUCUUUAAGUACACUGCCUUUUUUCUUCCAUCAUCUCAAACCCAUUGUUGAAUCCAUGUAGUGCAUUUUUUAUUUCAGUAGUUGUACUUUUCUUUUUUUUUUAAAAAAGGAGUUUCACUGUUGUCGCCCAGGCUGGAGUGCAAUGGUGCAAUCUCAGCUCACUGCAACCUCUGGUCCCUGGGUUCAAGUGAUUCUCCUGCCUCAGCCUCUUGAGUAGCUGGGACUACAGGCACGUGCCACCACACCCAGCUAAUUUUUGUAUUUUUAGUAGAGAUGGAGUUUCACCAUGUUGGCCAGGAUGGUCUCGAUCUCUUGACCUCGUGAUCCACCUGCCUUGGCUUCCCAAAGUGCUGGGAUUAUAGGCAUGAGUCAUUGUGCCCUGCCAGUUGUUGAACUUUUCAACUGUAGAGUUUGAUACUUAUUGAAAGUUUCAGUUUCUUCAUUGAUAUUCUUUAUUUGUUGAGUCAUUGGUGUCAUAUAUUCAUUUAAUUCUAGGAACAUUUGUUUCCUUUACUUUUUUUUUUUUUUUUUUGGGAUGGAGUCUCACACUGUCACCUAGGCUGGAGUGCAGUGGCAUGAUCUUGGCUCACUGCAAGCUCUGCCUUCUGGGUUUACACCAUUCUCCUGCCUCAGCCUCCUGAGUAGCUGGGACUACAGGUGCCUGCCACCACGCCCGGCUAAUUUUUUUUUGUAUUUUUAGUGGAGACCGGGUUUCACCAUGUUAGCCAGGAUGGUCUCGAUCUCCUGACCUUGUGAUCUGCCCACCUCGGCCUCCCAAAGUGCUGGGAUUACAGGCAUGAGCCAUUGCGCCUGGCCUACUUUAGUUUUUUUGAACAGAAUUUUCUUUAAUUCUUGGCUCAUAUUCAUAAUGGCUGCUUUGAUGUCUUUGCUAAAUUGAAUAUCUUGGCCCACUUAGACUUCAUUUUCCUUGACUGAUUUCCCCCACCUUGAUUAUAGGUCACUUUCUUGUUUCUUUGCAUAUCCUAUAUUUUUUUUGUUGUUGAAAUCUUUUUGAUAAUAUCUUGUAGUAUCUCUGGAUUCUGAUUUACUUUUUGAAGUGUUUGUUUGUUUUUUGGUAACUAGCUUGCUCUUAGCCAGUUAGCACAUAUCUCCCUAUGAUAUGUGUCUAUAGAUAUCUCUGCUCAAUUUUUGUGUGCUUAUUUAUUUUUUGGCCUGGCUUCCUAGGUGCUGCUCCUAUGUCCAUAUAGCUUAGUGGUGAGCCAAUGA
Molecule: long non-coding RNA, 2260 nt
Filed under: Homo sapiens (human)
Lineage: Eukaryota; Metazoa; Chordata; Mammalia; Primates; Hominidae
Description: HSALNT0382521
Source: RNAcentral